CAAUAGCGUAUAUUAAAGUUGUUGCAGUUAAAAAACUCGUAGUUGGAUUUCUGGUAGGAGUGACCGUUCCGAACUUGAUUGUUCGUGUAUUGUGUUUUCUCCAGCCAUCCUUGUGGAGAACUUUUCUUGCAUUAAUUUGUAGGGAUUGGGACCCGCAUCGUUUACUGUGAAAAAAUUAGAGUGUUUAAAGCAGGCAAUCGCUUGAAUACAUUAGCAUGGAAUAAUAAGAUAGGACUUUGGUACUAUUUUGUUGGUUUGCAUACCAAAUUAAUGAUCAACAGGAACAGUUUGAGGAUAUUCGUAUGAACAUGUCAGAGGUGAAAUUCUUGGAUUUUGAUCAGACGAACUACUGCGAAAGCAUUUAUCAAGGAUGUUUUCAUUAA
Molecule: ribosomal RNA, 383 nt
Filed under: uncultured eukaryote
Lineage: Eukaryota
Description: partial 18S ribosomal RNA
Rfam family: Eukaryotic small subunit ribosomal RNA
Source: RNAcentral